CCAUUUCAUAGGAGGAGCAGGCGCGCAAUUACCCAAUCCUGACUCAGGGAGGUAGUGACAAGAAAUAACAAUAAACCGGCUUAUGCCGGUUUAAUUGGAAUGAGUACAAUUUAAACAUCUUAACGAGGAACAAUUGGAGGGCAAGUCUGGUGCCAGCAGCCGCGGUAAUUCCAGCUCCAAUAGCGUAUACUAAAGUUGUUGCAGUUAAAAAGCUCGUAGUUGGAUUUCUGUGGGGACGGAGCGGCCGGCCGCACAUCGCGGUUCGAGCUAGCGCUUUCCCUACAUCCUGCCGCGAACCGUGCUACCAUUAAUUUGGUGGCGCCGGGGAUCGGCUCGAUUACUUUGAGAAAAAUAGAGUGUUCAAAGCAGGCCACAUGCCUUGAAUAAGUUAGCAUGGAAUAAUAACUAAGGACUUCGGUUCUAUUUUGUUGGUGUUCGGGACUGAAGUAAUGAUUGAUAGGGACAGUUGGGGCGGUCUGUAUUCCAAAGCGAGAGGUGAAAUUCUUAGACCUUCGGAAGACAAACAGCUGCGAAAGCGUUCCGCAAGGAUGUUCCCUUUGAUCAAGAACGAAAGUUGGGGGAUCGAAGACGAUCAGAUACCGUCGUAGUCUCAACUAUAAACUAUACCAGCUAGGGAUCGGCCAACGUUAUUUUACACCGACUUGGUCGGCACCUUAUGAGAAAUCAAAGCAUCUGGGUUCCGGGGGGAGUAUGGUCGCAAGGCUGAAACUUAAAGGAAUUGACGGAAGGGCACCACCAGCCGUGGAGCCUGUGGCUUAAUUUGACUCAACACGGGAAAACUUACCAGGUCCAGACAUAGUAAGGAUUGACAGAUUGAUAGCUCUUUCUUGAUUCUGUGGGUGGUGGUGCAUGGCCGUUCUUAGUUGGUGGAGUGAUUUGUCUGGUUAAUUCCGUUAACGAACGAGACCCCAGCCUGCUAAAUAGCGCGAGUGAGCUUUGCUCGCUGCGAGCUUCUUAGAGGGACUAUGAUGCGCGAUAGCACAUGGAAGUUUGGGGCAAUAACAGGUCUGUGAUGCCCUUAGAUGUUCUGGGCCGCACACGGGCUACACUGGCGCCUGCAACGAGCAUAUCAGCUGGCCCGAGAGGGUCUUGGCUAAUCUUUUGAACCGGCGCCGUGCUUGGGAUUGACCUUUGCAAUUGUUGGUCAUGCAACGAGGAAUGCCUUGUAAACGCGAGUCAUCAGCUCGCAUUGAAUACGUCCCUGCCCUUUGUACACACCGCCCGUCGCUCCUACCGAUGAAUGUUCCGAUGAAAUUUUCGGAGAGCACCUGUGAACUUGGCUCUGCCUUGCGAACGGGAGGCUCAAAGUCACAUAAAUCUGAAACAUUGA
This 1351-nucleotide ribosomal RNA is filed under the name uncultured marine eukaryote. RNAcentral describes it as "SSU rRNA". It matches the Rfam family "Eukaryotic small subunit ribosomal RNA", at positions 410 to 1775 of the family's 1831-position model. The record is from RNAcentral.